This 213-nucleotide ribosomal RNA is filed under the name Triticum aestivum (bread wheat). RNAcentral describes it as "partial small subunit ribosomal RNA". Lineage: Eukaryota; Viridiplantae; Streptophyta; Magnoliopsida; Poales; Poaceae. The record is from RNAcentral.
AUGGAGGAUGCACCUCUGUACAAGCAGCGCCGCAGGUACACUAGGGAGCUCCACGACGUCGACCUCCACGGCAACCACAAGCUCCACGUCGUUUUCACAAGCAAGGGUCAAGAUGUGGUCGAGAUGUUAUCCACGCUCAAGAGGAAGCUCGGCGGAAUGCCCGUCAAACUAGUCGGCGUUGAUGUCGAGUACACGCAUUACGUGAAGCCAUAG